AGGAUUGGCACAGAGGGAUGGCUUUAUGGCACAAGCUGAACUGCGAUAGCCAAGUAUUUCCUGAGCAAGUCACCUUAAUGCCUUCAGAAAUAGUAAGUGACGUGGCUGUUCAGAGUGACCAAGUAUCUACACCUUCAAAUCAGUGGAAAUGAUACAAGGGAAAGAAACAUCUACAGACAGAAGCUGGAUAAAGUUAAUCCCUGGGGUCCUUUGGGCUGAUUUGUUGCUCAACCAAAUUAAUUCCUGUGCCUAAACACCAUCAAGAUGACUUCAAAACAGAAGUAAGGUGGUUUGUGGGCCUCUCACAGGUGCAUCUCAUAGAGAAGAGCAGCAAAGUGCCUCUGGCUUCUCCCAGAAAUCAGUUCCAGAUGUACUGGGACAGAGCUUCCCUUCGGAGGAAAUACAUGUUUUCAGCUCUGACCACCCACAAGGGAAAGGAAAAGCAGAGAAGAGCACACAGCUUACACAAAACGAUUCCUGCGACAAAAGGACCCUUUCUUAGCCAUACUGAUUAUAUGGUAUCUCUUAUGGCAGUUUC
This is a long non-coding RNA of Pezoporus occidentalis (night parrot), 538 nucleotides long. RefSeq lists it as uncharacterized. The transcript is spliced from 4 exons. Lineage: Eukaryota; Metazoa; Chordata; Aves; Psittaciformes; Psittacidae. The record is from RefSeq and is a predicted model, not a curated record.